GACGAACGCUGGCGGCGUGCCUAAUACAUGCAAGUCGAACGCUUUGAUUUUCACCGGAGCUUGCUCCACCGAAAAUCAAAGAGUGGCGGACGGGUGAGUAACACGUGGGCAACCUGCCCAACAGAGGGGGAUAACACUUGGAAACAGGUGCUAAUACCGCAUAAUUUGUUUUUCCGCAUGGAAGAAUAAUAAAAGACGCUUCGGUGCCACUGUUGGAUGGGCCCGCGCUGCAUUAGUUAGUUGGUGGGGUAACGGCCUACCAAGACCAUGAUGCAUAGCCGACCUGAGAGGGUGAUCGGCCACACUGGGACUGAGACACGGCCCAGACUCCUACGGGAGGCAGCAGUAGGGAAUCUUCGGCAAUGGACGAAAGUCUGACCGAGCAACGCCGCGUGAGUGAAGAAGGUUUUCGGAUCGUAAAACUCUGUUGUUAGAGAAGAACAAGUGAGAGAGUUACUGUUCUCACCUUGACGGUAUCUAACCAGAAAGCCACGGCUAACUACGUGCCAGCAGCCGCGGUAAUACGUAGGUGGCAAGCGUUGUCCGGAUUUAUUGGGCGUAAAGCGAGCGCAGGCGGUUUCUUAAGUCUGAUGUGAAAGCCCUCGGCUCAACCGAGGAAGGUCAUUGGAAACUGGGGAACUUGAGUGCAGAAGAGGAGAGUGGAAUUCCAUGUGUAGCGGUGAAAUGCGUAGAUAUAUGGAGGAACACCAGUGGCGAAGGCGACUCUCUGGUCUGUAACUGACGCUGAGGCUCGAAAGCGUGGGGAGCAAACAGG
Molecule: ribosomal RNA, 775 nt
Filed under: uncultured bacterium
Lineage: Bacteria
Description: bacterial SSU rRNA
Rfam family: Bacterial small subunit ribosomal RNA
Source: RNAcentral